CCUACGGGGCGCAGCAGUGAGGAAUAUUGGUCAAUGGCCGGAAGGCUGAACCAGCCAAGCCGCGUGAAGGACGAAGGUGCCAUGCAUUGUAAACUUCUUUUGUCAAGGGACAAAAUCAGGCACGAGAGCCUGACCGUGUGUACCCUAAGAAUAAGCAUCGGCUAACUCCGUGCCAGCAGCCGCGGUAAUACGGAGGAUGCGAGCGUUAUCCGGAUUUAUUGGGUUUAAAGGGUGCGUAGGCGGGCUGUUAAGUCAGCGGUAAAAGUCCGGGGCUCAACCCAGGCGAGCCGUUGAAACUGGCGGACUUGAGAGGUCGUGAGGUAGGCGGAAUGCGCGGUGUAGCGGGGAAAUGCUUAGAUAUUGCGCAGAACUCCGAUUGCGAAGGCAGCAUAC
RNAcentral lists this ribosomal RNA (393 nucleotides) under uncultured bacterium. RNAcentral describes it as "partial 16S ribosomal RNA". It matches the Rfam family "Bacterial small subunit ribosomal RNA", at positions 338 to 729 of the family's 1533-position model. The record is from RNAcentral.